UGCCAGCCGCCGCGGUAAUACGGAGGGUGCAAGCGUUGUUCGGAUUUAUUGGGCGUAAAGCGAGUGUAGGCGGUUUGACAAGUCGGGUGUGAAAUCCCAGGGCCCAACCCUGGAACUGCACCCGAUACUGUUAAACUAGAGGUUGAUAGAGGGUAGUGGAAUUCCUAGUGUAGAGCUGAUAUUCGUAAAUAUUAGGAGGACCUCCAGAGGCGAAGGCGACUACCUGGAUCAAUGCAGACACUGAGGUACGAAAGCGUGGGGAGCAAACAGGAUUAGAUA
RNAcentral lists this ribosomal RNA (279 nucleotides) under uncultured bacterium. Its description in RNAcentral is "partial 16S ribosomal RNA". It matches the Rfam family "Bacterial small subunit ribosomal RNA", at positions 506 to 784 of the family's 1533-position model. The record is from RNAcentral.